GCAACUGUUGUAUAGUGGUUAUUAUAUCUGGCUUCCACCCAGAGGACCGGCGUUCGAUUCGCCGCGGUUGCA
RNAcentral lists this transfer RNA (72 nucleotides) under bacterium. Its description in RNAcentral is "tRNA-Gly". It matches the Rfam family "tRNA". Rfam says of the family: Transfer RNA (tRNA) molecules are approximately 80 nucleotides in length. Their secondary structure includes four short double-helical elements and three loops (D, anti-codon, and T loops). Further hydrogen bonds mediate the characteristic L-shaped molecular structure. tRNAs have two regions of fundamental functional importance: the anti-codon, which is responsible for specific mRNA codon recognition, and the 3' end, to which the tRNAs corresponding amino acid is attached (by aminoacyl-tRNA synthetases). tRNAs cope with the degeneracy of the genetic code in two manners: having more than one tRNA (with a specific anti-codon) for a particular amino acid; and 'wobble' base-pairing, i.e. permitting non-standard base-pairing at the 3rd anti-codon position. The record is from RNAcentral.